Molecule: long non-coding RNA, 298 nt
Organism: Gracilinanus agilis (Agile Gracile Mouse Opossum)
Lineage: Eukaryota; Metazoa; Chordata; Mammalia; Didelphimorphia; Didelphidae
Exons: 2
Source: RefSeq, a predicted model, not a curated record
CAGGCCUCAGGAGUCACUUUCAGUUCCAGUCACUGUCUUGGGUUCAUAUCACUUCAUUACUGGAAAUCUCAAGCUGGACACUUCAUAGACAUCUCAAACUCCACAGUCCAAAACAGAACUAACUCAUUUCCCAAUUCAACCCAUAUUAAAGAGGAUUUUAGGUACCUAUUCUGUGAUCUAUAAAGUCUGUGAUUUGCAUGCUGUCUCCCCAUAAGAAUAGGGCACAGGUGGUGUUUUUGUAUCCCAGGGCUUAGCCCAUAGCCUGGCAUAUACUAACUGCUAAAUAAAUCCUUGUUGA